Molecule: RNA transcript, 1515 nt
Organism: Asterias rubens (European starfish)
Lineage: Eukaryota; Metazoa; Echinodermata; Asteroidea; Forcipulatida; Asteriidae
Exons: 8
Source: RefSeq, a predicted model, not a curated record
ACAAAGAAUUUUUCACAAAUUAAUGGGUCAAACAUGAUACAAUUAAGCUACACAGCUAGACCCAGACCCAGAAUUUUGACAUUAGCAUUAGCGGUCGUCGACCGCUAAUGUCAAAAUUUAAGAAAAGGAGUACAGCGCCCCAGUUACUGGGUCUACACUACAGCUAGAUCACGCGCAUCCUGCCUAUUCUCCAACACUGAUGACAGAUGCGCUGAUCUAGCCAUUGUAGCCAAAGUCGACGUUUCAGACACUAUUCUUUGAAUUAUUUUUUAUAGAGUUCCCAAAGAUGUCUUCAGACUCGGAUGAUGGACAAGAUAAGACUGGAACAGUGCAAGUUUUGGUGCAUUUUAAGGACCAUACAAGGAAGGGUGAAGUCAGGAAAGGGUCUUCGUCAAAGGAAACGACGGACAUGAUACUUAAGAUUUUCCAUGAUGUUCUGCCAAACCAUAGUGCAGAUAAACUUAUGGUCAAAUAUUUUGAUGAUGAAUGGGGGGAGUUUAUCGACCUCUCAGAGAAGCCGACACUGUUCUCAAAAACUAGAAUAAAAGUUGAACUGAAGACAGGAAAGAACUUUCCUUGUAAAGGAGCUGCGGCAUGCAAUGAUGAGGAUGACGACAAUUCUGAUGAGGACGUCCAGAAAGGGCCAAAACCGCUAUUGACGAUGCUUCAACGCAUACGUCGGAAGUUUAAGGCCGAACCAACAGCUUCAGCAAGCAGUGCAAAAAAGUAAAGCCCAACGGUCAAAAUUCAAGUAGGAUGGCUACAUAUGAAUAAGAAGGUGAAAGAAUAUACACAGGUGCGAUGCCAAAAAGGAGGAGGAGUCAGACAUUUAACGUGCGACCGCAAGGCAACCUAUAUCCAGCUGCUUGAGGGUUGUGUGCCACUUUUCUUCUCUGCAGGGGAAUCUUCAAAAGGGCAUCGCAGUAAGAUGGAAUUCAGCCUGGCCAACUUUCAAGGACAUGAAAUAGAGAAAGAGAGCUUUGACUUGAGCACUGUUUAUGGAGAAAAGGGAUCAAAGACAAGAAUAUACAUCAAAACUAAAGAAAUGCAGGAUUGCUCUACAAGUAGCUCAUCAAGCUUGGAAGAGGUUCCCUUUGACCUUGAACAGCAAGAAUCAUCUUUCUUUGAUUUGGAUACACCAACAGUUUCUUUCAAGAGAAAGAGGAUGGUUUUUGGCGAUGAUCAACCUUCAUGCAGUUUUGCCUUUCCUGGGACAUUACCAUCCUCACAGGACCAACACUGCAAAAUAUGUUACGACAGAGUGCAAGAUUCGUUCAUCAUCCCAUGUGGACAUAAGCUGUGUGCUGUGUGCGCUGUGGCCAUAGAGGAACAGAAGAAAGAGUGUCCCUUUUGCAAAGAUACUAUCUUAAAAAUCGGUGAAUUGUUUGGUUAGUAUUGGGGUAUAAACAGGACAUUACUCAGGUAUGAUCAUCAAUAGUAUUGGGUUGUUAAAAUAAGAUUACUCAGGUAUGAUCAUCAAUAGUAUUGGGGUGUUAAAAUAAGAUUACUCAGGUA